RNAcentral lists this ribosomal RNA (853 nucleotides) under unidentified marine archaeon p712-3. Its description in RNAcentral is "bacterial SSU rRNA". It matches the Rfam family "Archaeal small subunit ribosomal RNA", at positions 477 to 1338 of the family's 1478-position model. The record is from RNAcentral.
CGGCACCUCGAGUGGUAGCCACUAUUAUUGGGCCUAAAGCGUUCGUAGCCGGUUUGGUAAAUUCUUGGGUAAAUCGUACCGCUUAACGGUGCGGAUUCCGGGGACACUACCAGACUUGAGACCGGGGGAGAUCAGAGGUACUUGCUGGGGAGCGGUGAAAUGUUGUAAUCCCGCAGGGACCACCAGUGGCGAAGGCGUCUGAUCAGAACGGCUCUGACGGUGAGGAACGAAACCCUGGGGCGCAAACGGGAUUAGAUACCCCGGUAGUCCAGGGCGUAAACGCUGCUGACUUGGUGUUGGGGAUCCUACGAGGAUGCCCAGUGCUGGCGCGAAGGUAUUAAGUCAGCCGCCUGGGAGUACCGGUCGCAAGACUGAAACUUAAAGGAAUUGCGGGGAGCACUGCAACGUGUGGAGCGUCGUUUAAUUGGAUUCAACGCCGGAAAACUCACCGGGGCGACGGUUACAUGAAGGCCAAGCUGAUGACUUUGCCUGAUUUCCGAGAGGUGGUGCAUGGCCGCCGUCAGUUCGUACCGUAAGGCGUUCUGUUAAGUCAGAUAACGAACGAGACCUCCGUCACCAUUUGCUAUUCUUCUCUCCGGAGAGGGAGCACUAUGGUGGAUCCGCCACUGUUAAAGUGGAGGAAGGAGGGGGCAACGGAUGGUCAGUAUGCCCCGAAUCUCCCGGGCUACACGCGCGCUACAAAGGGCAGGACAAUGGGCUUCGACACCGAAAGGUGGAGGCAAUCCCGAAACCUGCUCGUAAUUCGGAUUGAGGGCUGCAAUUCGCCCUCAUGAAGCUGGAAUACGUAGUAAUCGCGGGUCAACAUCCCGCGGUGAAUAUGCCCCUGCUCCUU